CCUGUUGGAGCAGAGUACAUUAUCAUGGAAAAGCAGACCGGCACGAUGUUAAGCGAUGUGUGGGAAACCAUGAGAGGGAAACAGAAAGCUCAGAUUGUUAAGCAAGUUGUGGAUCUUGAAAAGACCCUUGCAUCGAUGAAGUUCACAAAGCUCGGGGCUCUAUAUUACAAUCGUGAUCUUCCUUCAUCAAAUCAUGACACGUUGUUGUAUGUCGACGGAGCCGGAAAAGAGGUACAUACUGAAGAAUUUGGUAUCGGUCCUACUAACCACCGUUCUUUUUUCGAUUUUGGGAGGGGAGAACUACGUAUCGAUCGUGGGCCAUGGUCCACAACCGCGGCGUACCUAGAGGCAGUUGCCCAUAGAGAGAUAGCCUGCGUGGAUGUAGGCCUGAGAUAUUCAGCAAUGCCAGAAGGACUUUUUUACGGGCCCGGACAAUACCAACCGACCGCAUCGAAAAA
RNAcentral lists this small RNA (458 nucleotides) under Histoplasma capsulatum var. duboisii H88. RNAcentral's name for it is "Histoplasma capsulatum H88 hypothetical RNA". Lineage: Eukaryota; Fungi; Ascomycota; Eurotiomycetes; Onygenales; Ajellomycetaceae. The record is from RNAcentral.